GACGAACGCUGGCGGCGUGCUUAACACAUGCAAGUCGAACGGAAAGGCCCUGCUUUUGUGGGGUGCUCGAGUGGCGAACGGGUGAGUAACACGUGAGCAACCUGCCCUUGACUUUGGGAUAACUUCAGGAAACUGGGGCUAAUACCGGAUAGGAGCUCCUGCUGCAUGGUGGGGGUUGGAAAGUUUCGGCGGUUGGGGAUGGACUCGCGGCUUAUCAGCUUGUUGGUGGGGUAGUGGCUUACCAAGGCUUUGACGGGUAGCCGGCCUGAGAGGGUGACCGGCCACAUUGGGACUGAGAUACGGCCCAGACUCCUACGGGAGGCAGCAGUGGGGAAUAUUGCACAAUGGGCGGAAGCCUGAUGCAGCAACGCCGCGUGCGGGAUGACGGCCUUCGGGUUGUAAACCGCUUUCGCCUGUGACGAAGCGUGAGUGACGGUAAUGGGUAAAGAAGCACCGGCUAACUACGUGCCAUCAGCCGCGGUGAUACGUAGGGCGCGAGCGUUGUCCGGAUUCAUUGGGCGUAAAGGGCUCGUAGGUGGUUGAUCGCGUCGGAAGUGUAAUCUUGGGGCUUAACCCUGAGCGUGCUUUCGAUACGGGUUGACUUGAGGAAGGUAGGGGAGAAUGGAAUUCCUGGUGGAGCGGUGGAAUGCGCAGAUAUCAGGAGGAACACCAGUGGCGAAGGCGGUUCUCUGGGCCUUUCCUGACGCUGAGGAGCGAAAGCGUGGGGAGCGAACAGGCUUAGAUACCCUGGUAGUCCACGCUGUAAACGGUGGGUACUAGGUGUGGGGUCCAUUCCACGGGUUCCGUGCCGUAGCUAACGCUUUAAGUACCCCGCCUGGGGAGUACGGCCGCAAGGCUAAAACUCAAAGGAAUUGACGGGGCCCCGCACAAGCGGCGGAGCAUGCGGAUUAAUUCGAUGCAACGCGUAGAACCUUACCUGGGUUUGACAUGGAUCGGGAGUGCUCAGAGAUGGGUGUGCCUCUUUUGGGGUCGGUUCACAGGUGGUGCAUGCCUGUCGUCAGCUCGUGUCGUGAGAUGUUGGGUUAAGUCCCGCAACGAGCGCAACCCUUGUUCACUGUUGCCAGCACGUUAUGGUGGGGACUCAGUGGAGACCGCCGGGGUCAACUCGGAGGAAGGUGGGGAUGACGUCAAGUCCUCAUGCCCCUUAUGUCCAGGGCUUCACGCAUGCUACAAUGGCUGGUACAGAGAGUGGCGAGCCUGUGAGGGUGAGCGAAUCUCGGAAAGCCGGUCUCAGUUCGGAUUGGGGUCUGCAACUCGACCUCAUGAAGUCGGAGUCGCUAGUAAUCGCAGAUCAGCAACGCUGCGGUGAAUACGUUCCCGGG
Molecule: ribosomal RNA, 1343 nt
Filed under: uncultured bacterium
Lineage: Bacteria
Description: 16S ribosomal RNA
Rfam family: Bacterial small subunit ribosomal RNA
Source: RNAcentral